AAUGUGUGAGGUGGUGCUAUGUAGCAGGAACCCCUCUUGCUUUGCAAAUAGUUUUUUGUUUGUUUUCCUUUUUGCCCAAUAGAGCCCUGCUCUACUGACCCUUCAAUGUGCCCGUGUGCCUAAAUAUUCCUGGUCGUGUGAAAAGAACCCAGGUAUUAGCUGAACUAAGGAGCACAAUUCUGCAACAUUUUGGCACCCAAACACGGGGCUUGAGAAAUGAAUGCAAUUGGAGAAACUGGUUGUUUUACCAGGCGUUGAUUGGAAAUGUGUGCUUCCCUUUAAGCAGUCAAGCUCAACUUGCAGAACUGAUGGGAACCCCUUGGGAAAACUGGCCUCAAAUGUUUGUCUACACAGUCCACAUACAGGGUUCUUAACCUGCGAUGCUUUUGUGUAGAUGAGGGAAACUUCCCAGGGCUUGUCUGGGUAUGCCCACAGUGGACUGGAGCCCAAAAUGCACACUGGAGGAAGUGGAUGGAGCCACGUGGAUGUCAUGCCUUAUGCAGGGGAGGAGCCUGCUCUCUUCAGCUCCUGUGGUAAUGUGGGAAUCGAUCUGUGAGGUGAGGACCUGUUAGCAGGAACCCCUCUUGCUUUGCUGAAAGUUUUAUUUUUCUUUUUGCCCUAUAAAACCCUGUUCUACUAACCCUUCAAUAUGUCUGCAUUCCUAAAUUUUCCUGGUCAUGUGACGAGAACCUAGGUUUUAGCUGAACUAAGGAGCAAAAUUCUGCAACAUAAAGUCAAAGAAAACUAUGCCUAUAUCCAUUAAAUCAAAUGUUAAAAAGCAAAUAUAAAGAAAAAGUCUUCACAGCCCUAGAGAAAAGUGAAACAUUGUACAUAAAGAAGUAAUAAUUUGAAUGGAUUGUCAGAAACCAUGACUAGAAGACAGAGGAGCAAUAUUUUCAAAUUUCAUAGAGAAAGGAAAAAAAGAAAAG
This 929-nucleotide long non-coding RNA is filed under the name Homo sapiens (human). RNAcentral's name for it is "p53 upregulated regulator of p53 levels". The record is from RNAcentral. Lineage: Eukaryota; Metazoa; Chordata; Mammalia; Primates; Hominidae.